AGAGUUUGAUCCUGGCUCAGGGCGAACGCUAGCGGCGCGCCUAACACAUGCAAGUCGUGCGGGAAAGGGCUUCGGCCCUAGUACCGCGGCAGACGGGUGAGUAACACGUGAGCAACCUGUCCCCGGGUCUGGGAUAACCACCCGAAAGGGUGGCUAAUACCGGAUAAAGUCACCGGGCGCAAGCUCGGUGAUGAAAGGGGGCCUCUGCAUAGCAAGCUCCUGCCUGGGGAGGGGCUCGCGGCCCAUCAGCUAGUUGGUGGGGUAACGGCCCACCAAGGCUAUGACGGGUAGCCGGCCUGAGAGGGUGGUCGGCCACACGGGCACUGAGACACGGGCCCGACUCCUACGGGAGGCAGCAGUGGGGAAUCUUGGGCAAUGGGCGAAAGCCUGACCCAGCGACGCCGCGUGGGGGAAGAAGGCCUUCGGGUCGUAAACCCCUGUUCUGGGGGAAGAACCCUGAACGGGUUAAUAGCCCGUUCAGGCUGACGGUACCCCAGGAGGAAGCCACGGCUAACUGCGUGCCAGCAGCCGCGGUAAUACGCAGGUGGCGAGCGUUGCCCGGAAUCACUGGGCGUAAAGGGUGCGUAGGCGGCAGGGCAAGUCGCGGGUUAAAGCCCGGGGCUCAACCCCGGAAAGGCCUGCGAUACUGCCUUGCUUGAGGGCCGGAGAGGCUGGCGGAAUUCCCGGCGUAGGGGUGAAAUCCGUAGAUAUCGGGAGGAACACCGGUGGGGAAGCCGGCCAGCUGGACGGUUCCUGACGCUGAGGCACGAAAGCGUGGGGAGCAAACCGGAUUAGAUACCCGGGUAGUCCACGCCGUAAACGAUGGGUGCUAGGUCUGGGGAGGAAACUCUCUGGGCCGAAGCUAACGCGUUAAGCACCCCGCCUGGGGAGUACGGCCGCAAGGCUGAAACUCAAAGGAAUUGACGGGGGCCCGCACAAGCGGUGGAGCACGUGGUUUAAUUCGAUGCAAAGCGAAGAACCUUACCUGGGCUUGACAUGCCAGGGUUGUACCCCGGUGGAAACACUGGGGGAGCGUGGGUUUUUACUCACGCGCUCUGGCACAGGUGCUGCAUGGCUGUCGUCAGCUCGUGCCGUGAGGUGUUGGGUUAAGUCCCGCAACGAGCGCAACCC
RNAcentral lists this ribosomal RNA (1131 nucleotides) under uncultured bacterium. RNAcentral's name for it is "bacterial SSU rRNA". It matches the Rfam family "Bacterial small subunit ribosomal RNA", at positions 8 to 1104 of the family's 1533-position model. The record is from RNAcentral.